UACGUAGGGUGCGAGCGUUAAUCGGAAUUACUGGGCGUAAAGCGUGCGCAGGCGGUUUGCUGUGUCCUGUGUGAAAGCCCCGGGCUUAACCUGGGAAUGGCAUGGGAAACUGGCGGGCUGGAGUGUGGCAGAGGGGGGUGGAAUUCCGCGUGUAGCAGUGAAGUGCGUAGAGAUGCGGAGGAACACCGAUGGCGAAGGCAGCCCCCUGGGCUAAAACUGACGCUCAGGCACGAAAGCGUGGGGAGCAAACAGG
Molecule: ribosomal RNA, 253 nt
Filed under: uncultured bacterium
Lineage: Bacteria
Description: partial 16S ribosomal RNA
Rfam family: Bacterial small subunit ribosomal RNA
Source: RNAcentral